Long non-coding RNA from Mauremys reevesii (Reeves's turtle), 1382 nucleotides. RefSeq lists it as uncharacterized. The record is from RefSeq and is a predicted model, not a curated record. The transcript has 3 exons. NCBI's taxonomy places the organism in Eukaryota, Metazoa, Chordata, Testudines, Geoemydidae.
CCUUUUCCCUUAUGGAGGGGAAGGUGUGUCUGUGGAACUUUCACAGCCUAAAGGGCUGAUUGGGCUCAGCUGAGGGCCUGCAGCUAGCCUGACCUGGAGCCUAGCUUUAGGAGGGAUGCUGGGGGGAUGCCUGAUCUGAGGCAAGUGCUAAUAAGAGUUUAAAAUACAGCCAAGUUCCAGGAGAGGAAGCUGCCUUAAGGAGGGAUAAUGUAACUACCUGAAGCAUGAGUUGGCUGCCAGAAAGGCCAUGAGUGGACUUGAGGAAUCUCCUCAGUAGCCAGCUGGGAUGAAGCCAGAUGGGGAGACCAAACUACAGAACAGGAAUAGUGUAAUCUCCAGCCCAGGGAAAUGGAAGGAGCAGUUUGCUGCCUAAUGCAGGGUCCCUGGGCUGAAACUCAGACUAGAGGGUGGGCCUGGGUUCCCUUACCUCUCUGCCAGCAAGAGGGGGGACUACAAGCCUCUAGACUAGAGGUGGGAAAACUAUGGCCUGUAGGACUGUCCUGCCCUGCCCCUGAGCUCCUGGCUGGGGAACCUAGUCCCUGUCCCCUCCUCUGCCUUCCCCUCUUCCCCCAUUGCCAUGUUGCUGCAUGGGUUGUGCUCUGGCCUGCUGCUCCUGCUGGGCAGUGUGGGGAGCGCAGCUGGCUCUGGUUGGGUGUUGUGGCUGUAGGCUCCUGCUGCUGGCACGUUCCAAUGUCUGAAACAAAUGGAGCAGAAGCCUUAGAGAACAACAUUUUUCUCUACACAACCCUGACUCAUCCCAAGAGCCAGUCCAUCCUGUGCACUGAAUGAAUUUCCUCAUCUUUAAAAUGCGGCUGAUGAUGUGUCGUGCCCUCCCAGGGGUGUUGUGAAGAUUACAAUGAAUGUGCAUAGAGCAUUCUGAAGAAUGAACUGGCUUACAGGAUUUCUCCUGCUUUGUUGGCAGUCUAGUCCCAAGUAUGCUGUCUCAACUUGUUGUGCAUCUUGUGAAAACUGUAUGGAUACAAAAUCCUGGGCAGAAAUGGAGAAGACAUUGGAGAGAAACGUGUGUUGGUUUGUAGACUCUUCUGGGAGCUAGCAUUUGAUGUCAGCACUGCUCCAUGCUGGGCUGCUCCUAGCUAAUUAUGCUUCCUACAGUUAUCCAUCUUUGCUACAAAGAUCGUGGGACAAAGGCGAUAGAAUAGCUUAUGCUUCAUAAGAGAGCAUUAGUGUGAUGCUAAAUACAGUCUACUGAUGAAAAUCCACUUUUAAUAACAUCACUGAGUUCCCUGCUGCUUUGCAUUUUAGCAUAGAUAUUAAUAAUUGUUUAUGAAAUUCUUGAACAGAUACUAACAGCAGGAAAUGCACCUGCAUUAUUUAAAGGCUGUUAAAUAAGCAGAUUUUAUUUACCAAAAUACCACAGUACU